CAGAGUGGACGCCGAGCCGAGGAGUAGCCAAGAGCGAUGAAACAAGCUUCCGGUUCAAGGGUUUCUUCAGGUUCCACUACGGGCUGUUCUUCUGCAGGUGCGCCGAUGUCCACAGUGCUACCUUCUGAUGAGCUACUGCUUUCAUUCAGUUUCUGCUGACUUAAUAUGUGAGCUGACAGAAUGCAGAGACGACCACGUUGUAUGUGAAGCAUCCACUUUGCCUUGUACACCAGGGCAUUCAAUAACCACUUAAUAACUACAACCCUGAUGAUGAGGUCUCGCUAUGUUGCCUAGGCUAGUCUUGAACUCCUGGCCUCAAGUGAUCCUUUUGCCUCAGCAUCCGGAGUCACUGGGAUUAAAGGCAUGAGCCACCGUGCUCAGAAUACAAACAAAGACCCAUUUUUCUAGAAGAAGUAACGGGGAAGACAGAGUAAGAAAGAGAUAAUGAUGAACAUUGUCUAAUGUUACAGCAUAAUCUAGUAAGGAACUUGACAUCAUCAGACAGUAAAUCAAGAGGUACUGACAACUGAGACUGAGUGAUGGUCCCUGCCUAGGAUUUGGAAUCUUUGCAUGAAAUAGGGACUCUAGCCACCAGCGACAAAGAAGUCAGGGAGACUGU
Molecule: non-coding RNA, 619 nt
Filed under: Pongo abelii (Sumatran orangutan)
Lineage: Eukaryota; Metazoa; Chordata; Mammalia; Primates; Hominidae
Source: RNAcentral